UACGUAGGGUGCAAGCGUUAAUCGGAAUUACUGGGCGUAAAGCGUGCGCAGGCGGUUGUGUAAGACAGGUGUGAAAUCCCCGGGCUUAACCUGGGAAUUGCAUUUGUGACUGCACGACUAGAGUGUGUCAGAGGGGGUGGAAUUCCACGUGUAGCAGUGAAAUGCGUAGAUAUGUGGAGGAACACCAAUGGCGAAGGCAGCCCCCUGGGAUAACACUGACGCUCAUGCACGAAAGCGUGGGGAGCAAACAGG
Molecule: ribosomal RNA, 252 nt
Filed under: uncultured bacterium
Lineage: Bacteria
Description: partial 16S ribosomal RNA
Rfam family: Bacterial small subunit ribosomal RNA
Source: RNAcentral